GUAGGUGAACCUGCGGAAGGAUCAUUACUGAGUUCAUGCCCUUACGGGUAGACCUCCCACCCUUGAAUUAUAUAACUUUGUUGCUUUGGCAGCCCUCACCGGCUGCCAGAGAAUAAACCAAACUCUUUUUAAAUAUAUCGUCUGAGUACUAUAAAAUAGUUAAAACUUUCAACAACGGAUCUCUUGGUUCUGGCAUCGAUGAAGAACGCAGCAUCUGACUGACUCGGGCAUAAGUCAUCUCGUAUGCCGU
This 250-nucleotide unclassified non-coding RNA is filed under the name plant metagenome. RNAcentral describes it as "partial contains small subunit ribosomal RNA, internal transcribed spacer 1, and 5.8S ribosomal RNA". The record is from RNAcentral.